RNAcentral lists this transfer RNA (73 nucleotides) under Penaeus vannamei (Pacific white shrimp). RNAcentral's name for it is "Litopenaeus vannamei (Pacific white shrimp) tRNA". It matches the Rfam family "tRNA". From Rfam's summary of the family: Transfer RNA (tRNA) molecules are approximately 80 nucleotides in length. Their secondary structure includes four short double-helical elements and three loops (D, anti-codon, and T loops). Further hydrogen bonds mediate the characteristic L-shaped molecular structure. tRNAs have two regions of fundamental functional importance: the anti-codon, which is responsible for specific mRNA codon recognition, and the 3' end, to which the tRNAs corresponding amino acid is attached (by aminoacyl-tRNA synthetases). tRNAs cope with the degeneracy of the genetic code in two manners: having more than one tRNA (with a specific anti-codon) for a particular amino acid; and 'wobble' base-pairing, i.e. permitting non-standard base-pairing at the 3rd anti-codon position. Lineage: Eukaryota; Metazoa; Arthropoda; Malacostraca; Decapoda; Penaeidae. RNAcentral also lists the same sequence under 1 other name. The record is from Rfam by way of RNAcentral.
UCCCGUGUGGUCUAGUGGCUAGGAUACGCGGCUCUCACCCGCGAGGCCCGGGUUCGAUUUCCCGGCACGGGAA